This 309-nucleotide ribosomal RNA is filed under the name uncultured Desulfobulbus sp. Its description in RNAcentral is "bacterial SSU rRNA". It matches the Rfam family "Bacterial small subunit ribosomal RNA", at positions 1069 to 1382 of the family's 1533-position model. Lineage: Bacteria; Pseudomonadati; Thermodesulfobacteriota; Desulfobulbia; Desulfobulbales; Desulfobulbaceae. The record is from RNAcentral.
GAGAUGUGGGUUAAGUCCGCAACGAGCGCAACCCUUGCCUUAGUUGCCAGCAGUUCGGCUGGGCACUCUAAGGGACUGCCGGUGUUAAACCGGAGGAAGGUGGGGAUGACGUCAAGUCCUCAUGGCCUUUAUGACCAGGGCUACACACGUACUACAAUGGCCGAUACAAAGGGCAGCGACACUGCGAGGUGAAGCCAAUCCCGUAAAAUCGGUCUCAGUCCGGAUUGGAGUCUGCAACUCGACUCCAUGAAGUUGGAAUCGCUAGUAAUCGUGGAUCAGCAUGCCACGGUGAAUACGUUCCCGGGCCUU